UUCCAGACUCCUACGGGAGGCAGCAGUGGGGAAUAUUGCACAAUGGGGGAAACCCUGAUGCAGCGACGCCGCGUGUGGGAAGACGGUCCUCUGGAUUGUAAACCACUGUCCCCAGGGACGAAGAUGACGGUACCUGGGGAGGAAGCUCCGGCUAACUACGUGCCAGCAGCCGCGGUAAUACGUAGGGGGCAAGCGUUAUCCGGAUUUACUGGGUGUAAAGGGGGCGCAGACGGCGAUGCAAGCCAGGAGUGAAAGCCCGGGGCCCAACCCCGGGACUGCUCUUGGAACUGCGUGGCUAGAGUGCAGGAGGGGCAGGCGGAAUUCCUGGUGUAGCGGUGAAAUGCGUAGAUAUUAGGAGGAACACCAGUGGCGAAGGCGGCCUGCUGGACGAUGACUGACGUUGAGGCUCGAAAGCGUGGGGAGCAAACAGGAUUAGAUACCCCAGUAC
RNAcentral lists this ribosomal RNA (448 nucleotides) under uncultured bacterium. RNAcentral's name for it is "partial 16S ribosomal RNA". It matches the Rfam family "Bacterial small subunit ribosomal RNA", at positions 329 to 793 of the family's 1533-position model. The record is from RNAcentral.